RNAcentral lists this ribosomal RNA (300 nucleotides) under uncultured Gammaproteobacteria bacterium. RNAcentral describes it as "bacterial SSU rRNA". It matches the Rfam family "Bacterial small subunit ribosomal RNA", at positions 1035 to 1335 of the family's 1533-position model. Lineage: Bacteria; Pseudomonadati; Pseudomonadota; Gammaproteobacteria. The record is from RNAcentral.
CCGGUGCUGCAUGGCUGUCGUCAGCUCGUGUUGUGAAAUGUUGGGUUAAGUCCCGCAACGAGCGCAACCCUUAUCCUUUGUUGCCAGCGGUUCGGCCGGGAACUCAAAGGAGACUGCCGGUGAUAAACCGGAGGAAGGUGGGGAUGACGUCAAGUCAUCAUGGCCCUUACGACCAGGGCUACACACGUGCUACAAUGGCGCAUACAAAGAGAAGCGACCUCGCGAGAGCAAGCGGACCUCAUAAAGUGCGUCGUAGUCCGGAUUGGAGUCUGCAACUCGACUCCAUGAAGUCGGAAUCGC